RNAcentral lists this ribosomal RNA (468 nucleotides) under uncultured bacterium. Its description in RNAcentral is "partial 16S ribosomal RNA". It matches the Rfam family "Bacterial small subunit ribosomal RNA", at positions 28 to 507 of the family's 1533-position model. The record is from RNAcentral.
GACGAACGCUGGCGGCGUGCUUAACACAUGCGAGUCGAACGGAAAGGCCCUGCUUUUGUGGGGUGCUCGAGUGGCGAACGGGUGAGUAACACGUGAGUAACCUGCCCUUGACUUUGGGAUAACUUCAGGAAACUGGGGCUAAUACCGGAUAGGAGCUCCUGCUGCAUGGUGGGGGUUGGAAAGUUUCGGCGGUUGGGGAUGGACUCGCGGCUUAUCAGCUUGUUUGUGGGGUAGUGGCUUACCAAGGCUUUGACGGGUAGCCGGCCUGGGAGGGUGACCGGCCACAUGGGGACUGAGAGACGGACCAGACUCCUACGGGAGGCAGCAGUGGGGAAUAUUGCACAAUGGGCGGAAGCGUGAUGCAGCAACGCCGCGUGCGGGAUGACGGCCUACGGGUUGUAAACCGCUUUCGCCUGUGACGAAGCGUGAGUGACGGUAAUGGGUAAAGAAGCAACGGCUAACUACGUG